UUAUGUGAUCGUCUCUCGCAUAUCCAAUAAGCGGAGGAAAAGAAACUAACAAGGAUUCCCCUAGUAACGGCGAGUGAAGCGGGAAGAGCUCAAAUUUGAAAUCUUAAAGGGUUUCCCUUUACGAAUUGUAGUUUAAAGAAGUGUUUUCUGUUGAGGUUUUGGUAAAAGUUCUUUGGAAUAGGACAUCAUAGAGGGUGAGAAUCCCGUAUUUGACCUUUACUUUCAACUUUGUGAUACACUUUCAAAGAGUCGGAUUGUUUGGGAAUGCAGUCCAAAAUGGGUGGUAAAUUUCAUCUAAAGCUAAAUAUUGGCGAGAGACCGAUAGCGAACAAGUACCGUGAGGGAAAGAUGAAAAGAACUUUGAAAAGAGAGUUAAACAGUACGUGAAAUUGUCAAAAGGGAAGCGUUUGACACCAGUGUUGUUUUUCUGAAAAUCAAUUAAAGAACUGUUUAUGCUAAGCUGUUUAGACUUUAUCAGCUAACUGUUUAGUUUUGAGCUUUUCUUUAAUGCACUUUUCAGUUAACAAGUCAACAUCAAUUUCUUUUGCUGUAAAAAAGCUUGAGGAAGGUGGCUUGAGAUUCGUCUUAAGUGUUUAUAGCCUCUUGCCUAUGCAGUCGGAGAGAUUGAGGUCUGCAGCGUAGAUCCUUCGGGGCUAAAUGCAUUUGUGCUAAGUUAUAGCAUUUUAUAGACAACUUGUUGACUAUGAUUUGUCUUGUAGCUUACUCGCUUAUGUUAUUUUACCUACGCUUAGGAUGUUGAGUAGCGACAUACGCAC
This 776-nucleotide ribosomal RNA is filed under the name uncultured Neocallimastigales. RNAcentral's name for it is "partial large subunit ribosomal RNA". It matches the Rfam family "Eukaryotic large subunit ribosomal RNA", at positions 24 to 649 of the family's 3401-position model. The record is from RNAcentral. Lineage: Eukaryota; Fungi; Neocallimastigomycota; Neocallimastigomycetes; Neocallimastigales.